UGGUUGAUCCUGCCAGUAGUCAUAUGCUUGUCUCAAAGAUUAAGCCAUGCAUGUCUAAGUUUAAGCAAUUAAACGGCGAAACUGCGAAUGGCUCAUUAAAUCAGUUAUCGUUUAUUUGAUAGUACCUUACUACUUGGAUAACCGUGGUAAUUCUAGAGCUAAUACAUGCGAAAAAUCCCGACUUCGGAAGGGAUGUAUUUAUUAGAUAAAAAACCAAUGCCCUCUGGGCUCCUUGGUGAUUCAUAAUAACUCAUCGAAUCGCAUGGCCUUGCGCCGGCGAUGGUUCAUUCAAAUUUCUGCCCUAUCAACUUUCGAUUGGAAGGUAGUGUCCUCCAAUGGUUUCGACGGGUAACGAAGAAUUAGGGUUCGAUCUCGGAGAGGAAGCCUGAGAAACGGCUUACACAUCCAAGGAAGGCAGCAGGCGCGCAAAUUACCCAAUCCUGAUGCAGGGAGGUAGUGACAAUAAAUACUGAUGCAGGGCUCUUUAGGGUCUUGCAAUUGGAAUGAGUACAAUUUAAAUCCCUUAACGAGGAACAAUUGGAGGGCAAGUCUGGU
Molecule: ribosomal RNA, 555 nt
Filed under: uncultured eukaryote
Lineage: Eukaryota
Description: bacterial SSU rRNA
Rfam family: Eukaryotic small subunit ribosomal RNA
Source: RNAcentral